This 253-nucleotide ribosomal RNA is filed under the name uncultured bacterium. Its description in RNAcentral is "partial 16S ribosomal RNA". It matches the Rfam family "Bacterial small subunit ribosomal RNA", at positions 524 to 776 of the family's 1533-position model. The record is from RNAcentral.
UACGAAGGGGGCUAGCGUUGUUCGGAAUUACUGGGCGUAAAGCGCACGUAGGCGGGCGAUUAAGUCAGGGGUGAAAUCCCGGAGCUCAACCCCGGAACUGCCUUUGAAACUAGGUUGCUAGAAUCUUGGAGAGGUCAGUGGAAUUCCGAGUGUAGAGGUGAAAUUCGUAGAUAUUCGGAAGAACACCAGUGGCGAAGGCGACUGACUGGACAAGUAUUGACGCUGAGGUGCGAAAGCGUGGGGAGCAAACAGG